CCUACGGGAGGCAGCAGUGAGGAAUAUUGGUCAAUGGACGAGAGUCUGAACCAGCCAAGUAGCGUGAAGGAUGACUGCCCUAUGGUUUGUAAACUUCUUUUAUAUGGGAAUAAAAUGUUCCACGUGUGGGAUUUUGUAUGUACCAUAUGAAUAAGGAUCGGCUAACUCCGUGCCAGCAGCCGCGGUAAUACGGAGGAUCCGAGCGUUAUCCGGAUUUAUUGGGUUUAAAGGGAGCGUAGGUGGAUUGUUAAGUCAGUUGUGAAAGUUUGCGGCUCAACCGUAAAAUUGCAGUUGAAACUGGCAGUCUUGAGUACAGUAGAGGUGGGCGGAAGUCGUGGUGUAGCGGUGAAAUGCUUAGAUAUCACGAAGAACUCCGAUUGCGAAGGCAGUUCACUGGACUGCAACUGACACUGAGGCUCGAAAGUGUGGGUAUCAAACAGGAUUAGAUACCCGGGUAGUC
This 460-nucleotide ribosomal RNA is filed under the name uncultured bacterium. RNAcentral's name for it is "partial 16S ribosomal RNA". It matches the Rfam family "Bacterial small subunit ribosomal RNA", at positions 338 to 795 of the family's 1533-position model. The record is from RNAcentral.